AGCGCAGGCGGUUUUUUAAGUCUGAUGUGAAAGCCUUCGGCUUAACCGAAGAAGUGCAUUAGAAACUGGGAAACUUGAGUGCAGAAGAGGACAGUGGAACUCCAUGUGUAGCGGUGAAAUGCGUAGAUAUAUGGAAGAACACCAGUGGCGAAGGCGGCUGUCUGGUCUGUAACUGACGCUGAGGCUCGAAAGCGUGGGAGCAAACA
This 206-nucleotide ribosomal RNA is filed under the name uncultured bacterium. RNAcentral's name for it is "partial 16S ribosomal RNA". It matches the Rfam family "Bacterial small subunit ribosomal RNA", at positions 568 to 774 of the family's 1533-position model. The record is from RNAcentral.